Phacochoerus africanus (Common warthog) is the source of this 2729-nucleotide long non-coding RNA. RefSeq lists it as uncharacterized. NCBI's taxonomy places the organism in Eukaryota, Metazoa, Chordata, Mammalia, Artiodactyla, Suidae. The transcript has 3 exons. The record is from RefSeq and is a predicted model, not a curated record.
GUCACCUGUGACUGCUUCAGAAUGCGUCUCUAACAGGAUGAGGGUGGUGGUUGUCCUUUGAACGUAACCAUAAGGUCGUUAUCAUGGGACCACCUGGAUGGGAGAGGUCACGCUGGAAUCACCACAUCCUGCGCUUUGAGAGGGAGCACGGUCCCAGCCCAGGCCUGUUCUUCCUCGCAGGCAAGUUCCCUAGAGCAGCAGUUCCCAAAGGGGGCUCCUGGGACCAGUCGCAUCAGCACUGGCAUUGCCAUCGCUGGGGACCUCGUUAGAAAUGCAGGUUCUCAGGCUGCCCGAGCCCUCCCGAGGGAGGGACUCUGGGGCUGGGCCUGGCAGCCUGUGUGGCAUGCCCUCCCUGACUCCGAUGCCCGCUCUGGGAGGAGAUGAUAACACAGGGAGGUGGUUCCCUUUUGCUUGUCGGUUUAUUAUUUAUGCAGGUCCUGGAUCCUUCCCCAGAGGAUGCUGAGGGGUUGGUCUUGAGCGGUUUUGCCUUCCAGCAGACUCAGGAGCCCAGCCGUCAGUGGGCAUGGGAGAGAAGAGUCGGGGGUAGGCCUCUGAGAGGACAGAGGGGCCAAUCCAGUGGUAUAAUCAGGCCAAGCUACAAAAUGAGACCCCCCACCCCCACCCCGGGCCUGGACACACCGGAGUGGGGGUGGCGUCUCCCAAGCUUGACAGGAAGCCGCAAAAAUCAUACAGGAAGGCCCUGGGUACCUUUCACUCAGCUGUCUCCCAGGUCACAUCUUAUGUAACCGCCGUGCCAGAUGGAAGCCAGGAAACUGCCCUGCUUGGUGUGGAAGCAAGGUCUCUGUGCCCUGAUCUCAGGUGUGGACUCCUAUAAAGUACGGGCUCCGUCACCACGUGGCUGUCCUCACUUUGUAGUCACCCCAUCCCUAGCCCCUGCCAGCCGCCAGCCUGCCCUCCAUCUCUGUAAUUGCGUCAUGUCGAGAAUGUUCUGUAGGCGGAAUCCUACGCUGUGUGGCCGUUUCAGAUUCGCACCUGUUCUUCCCAGAGUAUCCACGUGUGUGUGCCUUUGCUCCGUCGCUUUUUCGCCCCCUCCCCCCUUUCCUGAAACCCUUCAGCGUGCCCUUCCAGAGGGACACUCUCUCACCACCAGAGUGCCCUGACCAGCCUCAGAAGUUGACGUCAUUCCGGAGUCUUCCCUCCAGGCCUUGGGUGAAGUCGGCUGUUGUCCCCCUCACGGCCUUGAUAGCAGACGAUAAAGCCUUUUCCCAGCUCCAAGGCUGACUCAGGAUCACAAAUUACGUUUGAGUGUUACGACUCUUUGGUCUCUCGGGAACAUCCCACGGCCUUUCUUUGCCUUUCCUGGCAGUUCCGAAGAGCACAAGCCAGUUAUUUCCUAGGAUGCCCCUCCGAGGGGAUUGCCGUUUCCUCAUGAUGGGGCUUGGGUUCCGCACUUGGCCUGGAAUUCCCUGAAAUGAAGCUCUGUCCCCUCGGGCGCCGUGUCCCGGGCACAUGAUGCCGUUGGUCUUGAUGACCCUCGUCCUUUGGUCACGGUGGGGCCUGGCAGGUUUCUCCACUGCUUCGCUUUGUGGCUCAUCGCUCGCUUGUGGGGUCUUGAGACGGUGUACGUGUCUUGUUUUUCACUAAGAGCUCAUCUGCCUUCUCUUUCAGAUGUUAACAGAAUCUUUUUAUUGCGGCAGAAUUUACCUACAGAAAGGCACACAGAAUGCCAGUCCUGCUCCGUGAGCUGUUACAUAGUGGACACCUGGACACUGAAGCCUGGGCCGAGAGGGAGGGAGGGUUGGGCCCUGGCGGAGAGACCUGUGAAGGUCAAAAGGUGGGGAGGCUGGAUGGCGCUCAGGGUGUUUGACAAACCGCCAGGAGGCUGGCAGGGAGGGGCCAGGCUUCUCAGAGAACUGGCCCCACGCCUUCUGCACAAUGUAACCGGGGACCCUGGGACUCUCCAAACGUUCAGAGGGAGCCCCUGAGAACUUUAAACUCUAUUGUAUCCAAAAAAAAAAAAAAUAGAAAUUGUACAUUUAGCUUCCCGUCCAUCUCCCCAAUUUACAUAUAAACGCAUCCGUUCACCAUUGGACCAACACAUGUUCAGAGCAUCCCUUAGAAGUUUAUCUUCAUUGAGAAAAAACCCACAUGACAUAAAAGUCACCAUUUUGACUCUCUGAAAGUGUGCGGUGCAGUGGACUUUAAUACAUUUGCGAGGCCCUGCAACCAGCCCCUCUAAUUCCAAAAUAUCAUCGUCACCCCAAAAAGAAAAUGUAUACUUUCCAAAUUUUGCUCUCUUCCCAGCGCCUGGCAGUCACUUGUCUUCCUCUCUGGGGAUUUGUUUCUUCUGGACGUUUCAUGUAAAGGGACUCCUACGUUGAGUGGCCUCUGUGUCAGGCUUUUUCCACACAAAUGUGAUGCUUUCAAGGUUCAGCCAUGUUAUCGUGGGAUCAGCACUUGCUUCCUUUCAAGGCUGAAUCAUAGCCCAUGGCCAAGAUGGACCACAUUCUGUUCAUCCAUUCGCUGCUGUUGGACAUUUGGGUUGUUUGUGCUUUGGUGCCUUCUUUUAAGCUCAUAAAAGUAAUAGAAUACCAUGGCUUUGUGGAAACCAUGGGGACAGUGGGGACACCUGUGCUGGAGAUCUCCCGUGGUCCAGGGACGAGGAGGGGCCUCUCAGGAAAAGAGCAACUCAGUUCAAACUUGAAGCAUGAGUGGGAGUUAGCAGGGCAAGAAUUUGGGGGCAAGGGGCCCUCUGGGGUGUGGCCCUG